RNAcentral lists this ribosomal RNA (502 nucleotides) under uncultured bacterium. RNAcentral describes it as "partial 16S ribosomal RNA". It matches the Rfam family "Bacterial small subunit ribosomal RNA", at positions 30 to 523 of the family's 1533-position model. The record is from RNAcentral.
AUUGAGCGCUGGCGGCAUGCCUUACACAUGCGAGUCGAACGGCAGCACGGGAGCUUGCUCCUGGUGGCGAGUGGCGAACGGGUGAGUAAUACAUCGGAACGUACCCAGGAGUGGGGGAUAACGUAGCGAAAGUUACGCUAAUACCGCAUAUUCUGUGAGCAGGAAAGCGGGGGAUCGCAAGACCUCGCGCUCUUGGAGCGGCCGAUGUCGGAUUAGCUAGUCGGUGAGGUAAAAGCUCACCAAGGCGACGAUCCGUAGCAGGUCUGAGAGGAUGAUCUGCCACACUGGGACUGAGAUACGGCCCAGACUCCUACGGGAGGCAGCAGUGGGGAAUUUUGGACAAUGGGGGCAACCCUGAUCCAGCCAUGCCGCGUGAGUGAAGAAGGCCUUCGGGUUGUAAAGCUCUUUCGGCGGGGAAGAAAUGGCAACGGCUAAUAUCCGUUGUUGAUGACGGUACCCGCAUAAGAAGCACCGGCUAACUACGUGCCAGCAGCCGCCGUAA